UACGUAGGUGGCAAGCGUUAUCCGGAAUUAUUGGGCGUAAAGAGGGAGCAGGCGGCAGCAAAGGUCUGUGGUGAAAGACUGAAGCUUAACUUCAGUAAGCCAUAGAAACCGGGCAGCUAGAGUGCAGGAGAGGAUCGUGGAAUUCCAUGUGUAGCGGUGAAAUGCGUAGAUAUAUGGAGGAACACCGGUGGCGAAAGCGGCUCUCUGGCCUGUAACUGACACUGAGGCUCGAAAGCGCGGGGAGCAAACAGG
This 252-nucleotide ribosomal RNA is filed under the name uncultured bacterium. Its description in RNAcentral is "partial 16S ribosomal RNA". It matches the Rfam family "Bacterial small subunit ribosomal RNA", at positions 524 to 776 of the family's 1533-position model. The record is from RNAcentral.